GCAUGGGGGUCAGAGAUCUCUCGAGAAGGGAAAACGAUGAGAAACAGGGACAGAGGGACGGAGACAGAAUAAGGGUUUGAUGGAUUUAUAUAGCUCUCUCUGUACUUGAUAUGAGGUGGGGAGCUCAAGGAUCGAGGGAUAUAUACACGCUUUUACACCCAUACCAUUUUUCUUUUCCUUGAUUUUUAGUUGUAUUUUCUUUUGGAUUUCGGAUACCCCCCCUUUCGCAGAUUCUGGGCUCUAUAUGGAUGGCGUGAGAGUGAGGCGAGAUGUCUGCGAUUUUUGAGCGCGGCUGAUUGCGAAUAUGCUACUCGAAUACACGGAGCACGUUCGAGCGAUUUUUGGACCGGAAGUUAGCGUCCACUUAUUCUCCAGUGGAAGCAUGCCUGUAAGAGGUGGAAUAAGUUUUGGGCUUCCAUCAACGAAUAAGUGUGUUUGUUAUGCCGUCGAAUGAGUAUUUUUCUUUUCUUUUUUCCUUUUUUUUUUUUUUUUUUUUUUUUUUUUUUGAGAUACCAUGCCGAUUUUUAUUUAUCUAUGUUAUAUCUACACUACUUAUCCAUAUUCGCCGAGCUUUACUCUUAGAGCCAUUCCUCGCGGAAAAGAAAGAGUGAACAAGCAAAAAGCUGAUGUGCAAAUAAUUUCUUUCUCCUUCAACCGUCCCUCAUACUCUGCAUCUCUCAAAUAAUAAUAUUAUUAUUAAUACAACGCUUGAAGAAGGCUUGAUCAAGUGGAGAGUUACGUACACGCAUUAAACUGAUUUGCAUCGAUCUCAUGACAAAACAAUGAAAGGUUUGAAAAAAAAAAAAAGCUAGCAGUUCAUUUAAAACUUUAACUAACAAACAAAUAUGAGAACAACCACAUAGUUCAAUCAGAAAAUGCAUUCAUGUCAGGCCGUGGAAAAAAAAAGGAAAAGAUUGGCGCGCGACACCCCCCAUAUAUGUGUACCAUCAUCCCGGUCGUGAUUUGUAACAUUAUUGAAAGCAAAAGGACAAAACCCAAGCGAACAAAAGCAUUAACGAAACAGAGGCAUUUAACACAUCCAGGGAGUUCUAAGAG
RNAcentral lists this small RNA (1056 nucleotides) under Histoplasma capsulatum. RNAcentral describes it as "hypothetical RNA". Lineage: Eukaryota; Fungi; Ascomycota; Eurotiomycetes; Onygenales; Ajellomycetaceae. The record is from RNAcentral.